Long non-coding RNA from Mercenaria mercenaria, 5166 nucleotides. RefSeq lists it as uncharacterized. The record is from RefSeq and is a predicted model, not a curated record. Lineage: Eukaryota; Metazoa; Mollusca; Bivalvia; Venerida; Veneridae. The transcript is spliced from 3 exons.
AACUUGAUAAUUCUUUGCAAAGGUGAAACAUAGGAAAUACUGAUAAGAAAGUUAAUAAAAAACACUGAAUAGAUAUAUGAUUGUCAGAUUGCAAUAAACGAAACAACCUGAAACGAUAUGAUAUUGUGUUUUAUUAAAUGGCGAUAUUGAGCUUUCAAAAAGCUGGACAAUGUAUAUGUUUACCUUAUUGUAUGGGAUCAGUAUUCAGUUUUAAAAGUAAAAAUAAAGACAAGUGUUAAGGAGACGUCACGACUGAGAUAGUUUAGCAUUAUUACAAUACACAGUCGGUAUUGAAAUUGUGUUUCCAAAACAUGUGCUAAUUAGAUAAUUCCUCAAUAUCUAUGUGAAAAUAAGGGAUGUGUUUUGUAUGAUUGCAACACUGUAAGUUGCUCUAAUUACUGACAAAUGACUGAAACAAUAGGAAUUCGUACGAGAGAUGGAUAGACAAAACAACAGUGAGCCGAUAUUGCUUCAUCAAGUCUGACAAUGGGCUGUACAUGUGAAAAGGUGUGGAGAAGAAAACAUUCAAAAGUUGGACGUAAAUCUGAAAGUAGUGGUAUUCCGCCAAGUAUGUCUGAUGCGCAGAAAGCAGUGAUAAGAAAUAACUGGCAAACUUUAAAAUGUCACGUUGCGAAUAUUGGAGUUAUAACAUAUGUCAGGGUUGUAUAUUAUUACCUAUUUAUUCAAUUUGAAAGAUAUGGUUGCGUAGUUGUCAUAUCUUGAAAUAUUAACCAUUACAGUAUGAUUAAGAAAUAUAUAUUAGCAACGAAACGAAAUAUAUGCUUAAAACAAACAAUAUUAUUGUAGCAGAUGUAUUGAGUAUUUAUUCCUACAGCUGAUUUUCAUACUGAGUUUGUGUACUCGGUCACUCAAUUUCUUUCUCGCUCCUUUGAUUUUAUCCCUGUUUCGCAUUCAUUUAUGAGUAUUUUUAAUUUGCCUUAUUAUAAAGUGUUACUUUUCCAAAAAACUCCGGCUUUAGGUUUGCAGCAAAUCUCAACAAUAAGACAAUUUAUAAAUAAACACAUUUACAUAAAUCUUAUUACCUGCAUAUUUCCCAUAGCACGCAUAUAAAUUUUAUCUUUUAAAUCGUUUUUGAAAUUAGGCGGCCGUAUUCAGUUUCUUACAUCUGGAUCAGCAUUGAAUCUUCACCGAGUCAGCAGAUAUGCAAUACUCAUACUUAAAGAAAGAAUAGUGACGGACACAAUCUCAUUCAAAUAUCUGAGUGAAAUAAUUUUCGCUUAUAAUAUAUUUUACAACUAUCGCACUCAAACUAUUUGAAGGUCCAAUACCAAGGAAAGUGAACAUUUUAAUUUCUUUUAAAAAGCACAGAAACUAUUUCAUUUUAUUGGAAAAUGAAAGUUGGUAUGUAGAAAUUCGAAAUAAAUCGCAGUAUAUGUACAAUUAUUUUUCUUUGAAGUAUGAAGAAAGUUAAAAAGACCUGGGGGGUCAUUCUGUCGAUUCAUUGAAAUUUCAACAUAAUACACAUACAUUUCUUUGAGUUCCAAAGACCUUCUGUAAAUUUUGACCUGCCAAUCUUCAUUAUUUAGUGUCUUGCAGAAGUCUAUGCACUGGCUAUGAAAAAAAUUGCCAACUCACUUUCCCUUAGUAAUGGACCUUUUAAGACAGAACAAAUAAAUGACGUAGUAUUUUAUAAUAUGAAAAUUAGUUCAUGUAGUCAGUAUUGUCGUAGUUUUAUACAAAUUAUCAGCUGUGCUAUCAUAGAAUGUAUUUAUUUCAAGCAUGUUUGAAAGCAGACCAGAGCUUUUAGAACUGUUUUCAAAGUUCAAGGGACAAAAUAUAAAUGAACUUCGACGUGCCGGAUUGCUCAGGAAACACGCAUUAAGAGUGAUGGCCACCAUAGACAAAGUUAUAACCCGCCUUGACGAGCCUUCCAGUUUAAUAGUCGUGCUCAGGGAAGUUGGAGCACACCAUAAGCUCUAUAAAGUAACGCCGAAUUACAUACAGAUAAUUUUGCCUCAUUUCCUCAAUGCAAUCAAACCUCAUAUAGAGGAGCAUUGGUGUGACGAUCUAGAGACAGCCUGGAAAACUAUGUUUGCAAUUAUAAUAUACCAUAUGAGUGAAAGUAUGACUCAGCCUGAACAUGGCCACAGACAAUUCAUUGCUGGUUCUUCAUCUUAAAUGGAUUUAUUGAAAUAUGUAAAUGAGUUGAUUGUGCAGUUUCAUACAUAGUUGUAAAAACAUAGUUUUACACAGGUAUUUACUAAUUAAAGAUGCAAAAUUACGGUACUAAAUUCGUGAAAUUGAACUUGAAAAUGUUAACUGAUUUUUAUUUAUCAUACAAAUGGUAACAUUUGCCAUUCUGUGUACAAAUGUCAAAACCCAUAUUCAGUAUUGUUUAAAAACAAAGAAAAUGAGUAAAGUGAAAGUUUAUAAUUAAUGAAAAUCGCGUAUGCGUAUUAUGUCAUUUUUGUGGCAUGUCAAAUGACGAAUUACAGGGUUGAUGGUAUAUGUAUUCUCGGUGAUUAUAAAGGACUCAAUAUGCACACUUUUCUUUAUCAGUAUUUGGUAGUAAUACGAUACUAAUCAAUCUGUUUCAAUUAAACAUACAACUAAGUCAUAUGAGUUAUCAUUUCAGCGUUAAAUACUCCAGACACCUUGAACCAGUUUCAGGUACAUGGCAACAAUCAGUUAUAUCUAUACAACUUAUUGACUUCUUGAACUAACCUUUCUAUUUGCUUAUUUUUAUUUUUAGUACAUUUACACGCUGUAUAAACAGAAAUAAAUCAUGAGUGAACAACAGGCAAACUAAUUCUGUAUAACCCAAAAUGUCCAUUAUAAAUAUGUUUUGAUUGAUGAAAGACGACGUUGUUUGUUUAGUUCUUUGUUGACUCUAUUUUUCUAUUUAGAUGUAUUUACAUAACUUUACGACGUCUUUCGACAGAAAUACUUCAUCUAAUGACAAAGUCCUUGCCAAACUUUGAAUAAACUAUAUCCAGCUUUAGUAAGAGCACAAUGAGAGAAGAUUAAAAAAAAACUCAUACAAUUGGUAUGCAAUACCACAAACUUCAAAUGACAAAGUUGGACAGAUGUAAACCAAAUGAUUGGCAGUUCCUAUUCUACUAAAUAUACAAUAAACAUACAUACAAAUGCAACGCCAAAAUCUUACUUUAUCUUCUGUCAUCGAAAGGAAGAUGUGUUCCUACAAAGCUUUGAUUUGCACAAUCGCCCCACCUCCUACGUUGAUAUCAAUCUAAAUCUAAAAUAACUACCUAUGCAAAUCUUGAGGUACGUUCAAUGGAAGAGAUUUUAUCAUUUUUGCCAGUGUUUUCAUAAACAGCACGAUAUGUGUUAUAUAUUAAAAGCCGAUUUAAUAGUUACACAUACUUAUGCCGCUUUAUUAAUUGCUUUUAUCUUAAUCUGAACCAAGCAUAUUUUACGACUUCUAGAGCAUUGUACAUCAUCUGAAUUAUGUGUGUUAGGUCUUAGCUGGGAAAUUUCGUCAAAGCAAUAUAACUACUUUAUAGAUAUAGAUUUCUUCUAUUUUAAUAUGUCACGAUCCCGUCUAUGUUGGGACAUACCUUAUACUUGCUGUUCAGCCCUUAUGCAGUUGGACACUUAACUUCCCUCCAGUCAGGUCAAUUAGACCUCUUUGAUAGUCAGUAUUUGCAGCUCUCUAAGACUGAUCUCCUUUAGUAUUUACCAUAUAAAGAUCUAGUUUAGUUGGACUUUUGACUGUGCUUCUCUUGUAACACUACAUUUGCAAAACCAUUUAGUGCCUAUAUUAUUCGUUAUCUUCUUUCAAAGUACACUACUGCAUGAUUUAGGAAUAUACCUGAUGGGAUUAAUUUCGCUGUCCCGUUUCUAUUUGUUUGAGACUGACUGUUACAAGGACUUUAUUUUCAUUUAUGUAUUUAUUUUGUUCUCGUUGUAUAUAUAUUUUAAAUUGUGUUUAUAAAGUCUGUGUGCAUGUCCGUUAUACAAAGAAGGACACUGGUUUAGGGUUUUUGUUAACGAUGGAUUGAUUCUUAUAACUUUGCUAUUCCUUUUCGAUCUGUAUCCUUGUUUUCAUAGAUUUUCUAAUUAACAGAUCCUUACUGCGUUGCUAUAGUUAACUUAACACAUUCCUAAAAUCGCAAGAAUAUAUGAAAAUGGGAAAGUUGAAGAUAAACGUUAUCAAGUAGGGAGAUAAUGCUUUUCUUGCUAUCGUUUGCUCGAUAAUUUACAGAUGGAAAUGUUAAAGACGUAAUAGCUUCAGAAAUAAUUAAUGAGAUAGCGGAAAGUAAUCAAAAUACUAUCGGCAGCGUAAAUUAAAGUCUAAAAUAAAGUUACUAAGUUAACACAAAAUGCUAAUAAAGCUUUCUUGCUUAUAGUAUAUAUAUAUGUAUAUUAAAACGUUCGACUGCUGAAGUGUAUAAUGUUAAACGAAAAUUCCAUGAAGUGUCUACAAAAGGUCCAAAUUUGAUCCAAAAAAAAAAACAAAAAAAUAAAACGAAUUAAAGGUUUUAUUAGUAGUACCCAUUUAGCAAUUUCUUGUAAACAGUUUAGUCUGUAUUCUCAAGUAGUCUAAAUUAUGAAUUAAAUAUACACAAAUUAAAUGCCUUGAGAAUGAUGCAAAAUGAAUUACAUUGUUUGAUAUACCCGGGCCUAACGAAGUUAUCAAAUAAUUGAUGAACAAAUAUUGUAAAACGACCCGAAAUGCUUAUCAUAUUAGAAUAUAUAAAUUGGCUCCUUAUCGUCAGAAUUACUUUUAUGUUACAUAAUGCUUCUCAGAAUGUGAAGUUAUAGUCAUACAAACGAGAGUUAUAAGUAUGUAUUUGCUCAUUUAAUACUUCUCAAUGGUUACAGAUAGAAUUAAACACAUAGAUUCUUUUGAGAAACUCUUGGUUUCAAACUACAAUGUGGAAAGGACCAUGUAUGAUAAGGGGUGUUUUGGGCCCCCAAUUCAAUUUUGUUUUUAAAUGCAUCAUUAGACUAUAAAAUAUGUCUUUUUUCUUUAUUUAGUUGCCAAAUAUCUAAAUAAAGUCAUUAUUUUUGGUAAAAUACUGAUUUAUAUAUACAUGCGUCCAAAUGUGUGAAUAUUUGCUUUAUAAGGGGGUAUGCUUUAAAAAAAGUGUCAUAUUGAAGUUGUUACUUAACUUAAAUUAGAAAUUUACUUGAUCAUUCAUUGCUAAUAUAGUGUGAAAUUUAUUUUGACAUUUAAUAUCC